Molecule: long non-coding RNA, 395 nt
Organism: Choloepus didactylus (southern two-toed sloth)
Lineage: Eukaryota; Metazoa; Chordata; Mammalia; Pilosa; Megalonychidae
Exons: 3
Source: RefSeq, a predicted model, not a curated record
ACUCCUCUCUUUCCAGUCUACUGUCGCCCACGUAACUGAGCAGAGGUGGCUCUGGGAAGGACCUGGAGGGGACAUCACGGUCUCCACUCGCUGCAGGAGAGUGCACGGUGCCUCCUCCUGGGGACCUGACCAUGUCCUCGGUCAGUGGGCAACACUCCAGAGAUGAUGACUGGAGGCCUCUGAAUGGAGAACAAAUAAUACCGAGAGUUGUUGGUGCAGAUGAAGAGAAACCAUCCUCACAGGAGUUUGCCUCAGAUACACACAGGAGAUCCUGGAUUAUCCUGAUGUAAUCACAAGAGUCCUCGUAGGAGAGGAGAAGGUGGUGUAAUGGGAGAAGCCGAGACUGGAGUGACAUGUUCUGAAGACGGAGGAAAGGGCCACAAGCCAAGGAUCAG